UACGUAGGGUGCGAGCGUUAAUCGGAAUUACUGGGCGUAAAGCGUGCGCAGGAGGUUCGUUGUGUCGGCGGUGAAAGCCCCGGGCUUAACCUGGGAAUGGCCGUUGAAACUGGCGAACUGGAGUGUGGCAGAGGGGGGUGGAAUUCCGCGUGUAGCAGUGAAAUGCGUAGAGAUGCGGAGGAACACCGAUGGCGAAGGCAGCCCCCUGGGCUAACACUGACGCUCAGGCACGAAAGCGUGGGGAGCAAACAGG
RNAcentral lists this ribosomal RNA (253 nucleotides) under uncultured bacterium. Its description in RNAcentral is "partial 16S ribosomal RNA". It matches the Rfam family "Bacterial small subunit ribosomal RNA", at positions 524 to 776 of the family's 1533-position model. The record is from RNAcentral.